GUGUGUGUGUGGUGUGUGUGUGUGUGUGUGGUGUGUGUGUGUGUGUGUGGUGUGUGUGUGUGUGUGUGGUGUGUGUGUGUGUGCGGUG
Astyanax mexicanus (Mexican tetra) is the source of this 88-nucleotide long non-coding RNA. RefSeq lists it as uncharacterized. The transcript has 3 exons. The record is from RefSeq and is a predicted model, not a curated record. NCBI's taxonomy places the organism in Eukaryota, Metazoa, Chordata, Actinopteri, Characiformes, Acestrorhamphidae.